CACACCACGGGAGUCGAUUGGUCCCGAAGUGCGUGAGCUAACCCCUUGUGGGAGGCAGCGUCCUAAGGAAUGGUCGGUGACUGGGGUGAAGUCGUAACAAGGUAGCCGUAGGGGAACCUGCGGCUGGAUCACCUCCUUUCAAAGGAGCUCGGAGGCUUGACCUCCUCAGCUCACCUAGGUCAAAACAAAUCACACACACUGCUAUUCGGUUUUGAGAGACCAGAGUCUUCUCUGGUUUUUUGCUCUUUAUAACUUUAUGGAGAUGGGUUAUCGACGAAUGCUGAUACUUGAGCAGACUCGGAUCCGACCAAGGGGCUUGUAGCUCAGUUGGCUAGAGCACACGACUGAUAAUCGUGAGGUCGAUGGUUCGAGUCCAUCCAGGCCCACCAACCCUUUAUUGGGGGUGUAGCUCAGCUGGGAGAGCACCUGCCUUGCACGUAGGGGGUCAUCGGUUCGAACCCGUUCACCUCCACCAAUAAUUUCGUAGGGGCGACCCGUUGGGUCGCCCUUGCUUAACAGUUCUUUGACAAUUGCAUAGUGGAUAGUUUAGGUAGCAGAUGCGUACUCAGUGCGUACGUAUUUGUUUUAGAUUGUAUGAAUUUGUAGUUUUGAUUUGAUUUCGAUUUUUUAUGGUCAAGCUACUAAGGGCGUACGGUGGAUGCCUAGGCAGAGAGAGGCGAUGAAGGACGCGGUAAACUGCGAUAAGCUUCGGGGAGUCGUUAAACAGGCUUUGAUCCGGAGAUUU
Molecule: unclassified non-coding RNA, 745 nt
Filed under: uncultured bacterium SH18
Lineage: Bacteria
Description: contains partial 16S ribosomal RNA, complete intergenic spacer region, and partial 23S ribosomal RNA sequence
Rfam family: Bacterial small subunit ribosomal RNA (bases 1-139)
Source: RNAcentral